Molecule: ribosomal RNA, 253 nt
Filed under: uncultured bacterium
Lineage: Bacteria
Description: partial 16S ribosomal RNA
Rfam family: Bacterial small subunit ribosomal RNA
Source: RNAcentral
UACGUAGGGUGCAAGCGUUAAUCGGAAUUACUGGGCGUAAAGCGUGCGCAGGCGGUUGUGUAAGACAGGUGUGAAAUCCCCGGGCUUAACCUGGGAAUUGCAUUUGUGACUGCACGGCUAGAGUUUGGCAGAGGGGGGUAGAAUUCCACGUGUAGCAGUGAAAUGCGUAGAUAUGUGGAGGAAUACCGAUGGCGAAGGCAGCCCCCUGGGUCAAGACUGACGCUCAUGCACGAAAGCGUGGGGAGCAAACAGG